UGGCGGAAUGCUUUACACAUGCAAGUCGAACGGCAGCACGGACUUCGGUCUGGUGGCGAGUGGCGAACGGGUGAGUAACAUAUCGGAACGUAUCCAAUAAUGGGGGAUAACUAAUCGAAAGGUUGGCUAAUACCGCAUACGCCCUACGGGGGAAAGCAGGGGAUCUUCGGACCUUGCGUUAAUGGAGCGGCUGAUAUCUGAUUAGCUAGUUGGUGAGGUAAAGGCUCACCAAGGCGACGAUCAGUAGCUGGUCUGAGAGGACGACCAGCCACACUGGAACUGAGACACGGUCCAGACUCCUACGGGAGGCAGCAGUGGGGAAUUUUGGACAAUGGGCGCAAGCCUGAUCCAGCCAUUCCGCGUGAGUGAAGAAGGCCUUCGGGUUGUAAAGCUCUUUCGCAAGGGAAGAAAACUUACCUUUUAAUAAAGGGUGAGGUUGACGGUACCUUGAUAAGAAGCACCGGCUAACUACGUGCCAGUAGCCGCGGUAAUACGUAGGGUGCGAGCGUUAAUCGGAAUUACUGGGCGUAAAGCGUGCGCAGGCGGUUUUGUAAGUCAGAUGUGAAAUCCCCGAGCUCAACUUGGGAACUGCGUUUGAAACUACAAGACUAGAAUAUGUCAGAGGGGGGUAGAAUUCCACGUGUAGCAGUGAAAUGCGUAGAGAUGUGGAGGAAUACCAAUGGCGAAGGCAGCCCCCUGGGAUAAUAUUGACGCUCAUGCACGAAAGCGUGGGGAGCAAACAGGAUUAGAUACCCUGGUAGUCCACGCCCUAAACGAUGUCUACUAGUUGUUGGUGGAGUAAAAUCCAUGAGUAACGCAGCUAACGCGUGAAGUAGACCGCCUGGGGAGUACGGUCGCAAGAUUA
RNAcentral lists this ribosomal RNA (865 nucleotides) under uncultured bacterium. RNAcentral's name for it is "bacterial SSU rRNA". It matches the Rfam family "Bacterial small subunit ribosomal RNA", at positions 37 to 896 of the family's 1533-position model. The record is from RNAcentral.